This 1651-nucleotide long non-coding RNA is filed under the name Olea europaea subsp. europaea. Lineage: Eukaryota; Viridiplantae; Streptophyta; Magnoliopsida; Lamiales; Oleaceae. The record is from RNAcentral.
GAUCGAGAUCCUUCGUGGCUUCACCAAAGAAUUUAGUUCAUAGAUUUCUUGAGCCAAAAAUCAAAGAAAAGUGUUAGGAGGUGAAUGGUGGCGUUUUCUAUCGAGAUUAGGGCUUAAAAAUCGUGUGAAAACUUGUUACCAUAAGUAUUUGAGUCGAUUAAGGAAAGCAAAAUUUUCGUCCCAGAGAAAAGCCCAUGCGGCCACAUGGUUAUAACUCUUGGGUUGCAUGGUUAUGAAGUUUUCAGCCCUCAAGUUUCGUUAACAAUUUGGGCGGCAGAAUGGUUUUCUUCCUUGCCCGCAUUGUUAUUACAGUUUUCUCGGUCGGACAGUUUUCGAUAUUUUGAUCAUAAUUUUCUCUCAUGACAUCCGAUUGAGAUGAUUCAAGUUGAGUUAGAAAGCUAACUUAAAGAGCUACAACUUUACUUUAGAAACCAUCUUCUAAUUCUAUCAUCUUCCAUGUCAAAAAUGGGUCCCAAUAUGAGGCUAAAAAUCAGUGCGUAACUUUUUCGAUUGAGAAUUGAUUUGUGAUGUUAUGAUCAUAUUUCACUUCCUUUGACUUCUAAUUGCACCCAAUUGACUCUUAUCAUUCUUGAAUCAUCAUUCCAUUGCCCAUCUCAUCUAUGAAUUAUUUACAACUUGGUCCUUGAACUUUCACUUAUUCUCACUUUAGUCCUUUUUCAUUUGUUUCUUCCAAAUUUCACCGUUUUCACCAAAAUGUAACCUAAACCAAAAUAUAAGAGUAAUGAGUGCAUUUUGGCAUAAUAUAAUCACAUUAAUGCAAUAAUUAAGGGGGGAAAAUAUGGUAUUUUACACUAUUAUCACACACCCCAACUUGCUUAUUGCUAGUCCCUAGCAAUUCAAUGCAAAACAAAACAAAUGAAUGACUGAUCCAUAUUACAAGUGAAAUUGUUGAGUUCUAAUUCAAUUGCAAUUCACUAUCUUUUCAAACUCAACACCACAAGAAAUUAGCAAUGUUAUGAUUAUCAAGAUACCAAAAACAUUUGCUAAAUGUGUGAGUGUGAGUCAAGCCAUAGCCAUCUUACCGUCAACCCUAUCACAUGCAACAUUGAGUGUGUCUCUAGCUAAAGGUCCUACCCCAUAACUCAGGGGUAUUAAAGUGUUUAGUGCGGGGUUUCUCUCUAUGGAGCUGGGAAAGAUGCACACUCAGAACAUGGAAGCUUAAAUAUUUAUGAACAAGCAACAAGCAAAAUUGAUCACAUGAUAGAAAUACUUUCAAAUGAGAAUUCAUCAACUUCCUACCACAAACCUACUUGAGAUCGAAACAGGCAACGUAAAGGGUGUUAAAAGGGUUAAGUUGGGUUGUAUGAAAAGUAGGGCGAAAAGAAUUUAAGGACUUUCAAGUAUCUAGCUAAGCACCUCAACAAGUAUUUCAACAUAUCAAUCCUUUACAUCAACGUAUUCCUCAACCUUUCAAUUCCCAACAACAAUCCACCCCUUUUGUUCAUUUCAUUUCUUUUUCUUUUUCCUUUUUUCAAAUUCCCUUUCCUUUUGUUUUUUUUCACCUCACCCGAGCACUUAUCAUCUUCUAUCACUUGCCUCGUUACUUUUCUUCUCAAAUAGACAUUUAACACUUACUAUACACUUGGGAGUAUAAAGGUAGGAAAAUGACUAUUUAUAGACUUUAAUCCAG